This 30-nucleotide non-coding RNA is filed under the name Mus musculus (house mouse). Lineage: Eukaryota; Metazoa; Chordata; Mammalia; Rodentia; Muridae. The record is from RNAcentral.
UAGCCGUACAUAGCUUCCUACAGAGCUGGU